GUCUACAGCCAUACUACCCUGAACGUACCUGAUUUCCUCUGAUUUUGGAAGCUAAGCAGGGUUGGGCCUGGCUAGAUGGGAGACCACCUGGGAAUACUAGGUACUAUAGGCU
This 112-nucleotide ribosomal RNA is filed under the name Prolemur simus (greater bamboo lemur). Lineage: Eukaryota; Metazoa; Chordata; Mammalia; Primates; Lemuridae. The record is from RNAcentral.